AAUAGAUACCCGGGUAGUCCACGCCGUAAACGAUGGAUGCUAGCUGUUAUGCGUAUCGACCCGUGUAGUAGCGAAGCUAACGCGUUAAGCAUCCCGCCUGGGGAGUACGAACGCAAGUUUAAAACUCAAAGGAAUUGACGGGGACCCGCACAAGCGGUGGAGCGUGUUCUUUAAUUCGAGGCUAAGCGAAGAACCUUACCAGGGCUUGACAUCCUUGGAAUUUCUCCGAAAGGAGAGAGUACUUUAUUGGACCAAGUGACAGGUGCUGCAUGGCCGUCGUCAGCUCGUGUCGUGAGAUGUUUGGUUAAGUCCAUUAACGAGCGCAACCCUUAUGAAUAGUUGUAUUUUUCUAUUCAGACUGCCCCGGUAACGGGGAGGAAGGGGGGGAUGAUGUCAGGUCAGUAUUGCCCUUACGCCCUGGGCUAGAAACGCGCUACAAUGGCCGGUACAAUGCGCUGCCAACCCGCGAGGGGGAGCAAAUCGCAUCAAAGCCGGUCCCAGUUCGGAUAAGAGGCUGAAACUCGCCUCUUUGAAGCCGGAAUCGCUAGUAAUCGU
RNAcentral lists this ribosomal RNA (555 nucleotides) under uncultured bacterium. RNAcentral describes it as "bacterial SSU rRNA". It matches the Rfam family "Bacterial small subunit ribosomal RNA", at positions 777 to 1345 of the family's 1533-position model. The record is from RNAcentral.